This 497-nucleotide ribosomal RNA is filed under the name uncultured bacterium. RNAcentral's name for it is "partial 16S ribosomal RNA". It matches the Rfam family "Bacterial small subunit ribosomal RNA", at positions 28 to 507 of the family's 1533-position model. The record is from RNAcentral.
GAUGAACGCUGGCGGCGUGCCUAAUACAUGCAAGUCGAGCGAACGGACGAGAAGCUUGCUUUUCUGAUGUUAGCGGCGGACGGGUGAGUAACACGUGGAUAACCUACCUAUAAGACUGGGAUAACUUCGGGAAACCGGAGCUAAUACCGGAUAAUAUUUUGAACCGCAUGGUUCAAAAGUGAAAGACGGUCUUGCUGUCACUUAUAGAUGGAUCCGCGCUGCAUUAGCUAGUUGGUAAGGUAACGGCUUACCAAGGCAACGAUGCAUAGCCGACCUGAGAGGGUGAUCGGCCACACGGGAACUGAGACACGGUCCAGACUCCUACGGGAGGCAGCAGUAGGGAAUCUUCCGCAAUGGGCGAAAGCCUGACGGAGCAACGCCGCGUGAGUGAUGAAGGUCUUCGGAUCGUAAAACUCUGUUAUUAGGGAAGAACAUAUGUGUAAGUAACUGUGCACAUCUUGACGGUACCUAAUCAGAAAGCCACGGCUAACUACGUG